Molecule: ribosomal RNA, 489 nt
Filed under: uncultured bacterium
Lineage: Bacteria
Description: bacterial SSU rRNA
Rfam family: Bacterial small subunit ribosomal RNA
Source: RNAcentral
AUUGAACGCUGGCGGCAUGCCUUACACAUGCAAGUCGAACGGCAGCACGGACUCCGGUCUGGUGGCGAGUGGCGAACGGGUGAGUAAAGUAUCGGAACGUGCCUGGUAGUGGGGGAUAACGAGUCGAAAGAUUCGCUAAUACCGCAUACGACCUGAGGGUGAAAGCAGGGGAUCUUCGGACCUUGUGCUAUCAGAGCGGCUGAUAUCUGAUUAGCUAGUUGGUGGGGUAAAGGCCCACCAAGGCGACGACCAGUAGCUGGUCUGAGAGGACGACCAGCCACACUGGAACCGAGACACGGCCCAGACUCCUACGGGAGGCAGCAGUGGGGAAUUUUGGACAAUGGGGGCAACCCUGAUCCAGCAAUGCCGCGUGAGUGAAGGAGGCCCUCGGGUUGUAAAGCUCUUUUGUCAGGGAAGAAAAGGUUGUGGCUAAUAUCCACAGCUGAUGACGGUACCUGAAGAAUAAGCACCGGCUAACUACGUGCCAGC